AAUAAGUGCAGCCGUGGGUAUCCGUGUCCAACAUUUGACUAUCCAUCUUAUUUAAAAAAUUUAUAAAAAAAUAGUCACAUAUAAAGUAUUAUUUAUGUUCUAUCAUCUAAUAAUAAUAAAAAUACUAAUUAUAAAAAAAAUUCAAAUAAAACGAAUAGUCAAACGUUGGAUAUGAAUAAUGCAAAACUGUAUUUUUU
RNAcentral lists this microRNA precursor (197 nucleotides) under Oryza rufipogon (brownbeard rice). Its description in RNAcentral is "MIR812 microRNA precursor family". It matches the Rfam family "MIR812 microRNA precursor family". The record is from Rfam by way of RNAcentral. Lineage: Eukaryota; Viridiplantae; Streptophyta; Magnoliopsida; Poales; Poaceae.